Molecule: ribosomal RNA, 1878 nt
Filed under: human gut metagenome
Description: bacterial LSU rRNA
Rfam family: Bacterial large subunit ribosomal RNA
Source: RNAcentral
UCAAGCUACAAAGAGCACAAGGGGAAUGCCUUGGCACCGAGAGCCGAAGAAGGACGUGACUAACUGCGAUAAGCUGCGGGGAGCCGUAAGUAGGCUUUGAUCCGCAGAUUUCCGAAUGGAGCAAUCCGGCAAGAGGAAAGUCUUGUCAUCAUAUACUGAAUACAUAGGUAUAUGAGGGGAACCGCCUGAACUGAAACAUCUAAGUAGGGCGAGGAAGAGAAAUCAACUGAGAUUCCGUAAGUAGUGGCGAGCGAACGCGGAAGAGGCCAAACCGAGAGUAGUAAUACUUUCGGGGUUCGGACAGAAAACGGUAUUGUAAAGGUUUAGUGGAAUGGAAUGGGAAGUCCAACCGAAGAAGGUGAGAGUCCUGUACACGAAAAGCCUGAACAGCCAUCUGUAUCCAGAGUACCGCCGGACACGUGAAACCCGGUGGGAAUAUGGGGGGACCAUCCUCCAAGCCUAAAUACUACUCGGUGACCGAUAGUGAAGAAGUACUGUGAAGGAAAGGUGAAAAGUACCCCUGACGGGGAGUGAAAAAGAACCUGAAACCUUGUGUUUACAAGCACCGAAAGCUCAUCAAAGAGCGAUCGGGUACCUUUUGUAGAAUGGUCCGGCGAGUGAAUGUAACCGGCGAGGUUAAGCACUUAAGGUGUGAAGCCGCAGCGAGAGCAAGUCUGAAUAGGGCGUAUGAAGUCGGUUGUAUUCGACCCGAAACCGGGUGACCUACCCAUGGUCAGGUUGAAGUAAAGGUAAAACUUUAUGGAGGACCGAACCGACUCCCGUUGAAAUGGUAGCGGAUGAACUGUGGGUAGCGGAGAAAUUCCAAUCGAACCCGGAGAUAGCUGGUUCUCUCCGAAAUAGCUUUAGGGCUAGCCUUGAAAUAGAUUACCGGAGGUAAAGCACUGAAUUGGCUAGGGGCCGAGAGGUUACUGAACCUUAUCAAACUAAGAAUGCCGGAUAAUCGUUUUUCAGGAGUCAGACAGUGGGAGAUAAGUUUCAUUGUCAAAAGGGAAACAGCCCAGACCCACAGCUAAGGUCCCCAAGUAUAGUUAAGUGGAAAAGGAUGUGGAAUUGCACAGACAACCAGGAUGUUGGCUUAGAAGCAGCCACUCAUUAAAAGAGUGCGUAAUAGCUCACUGGUCGAGUGACUCUGCGCCGAAAAUUUAACGGGGCUAAACUAUACACCGAAGCUUGGGAUACAUCUAAUGUAUGGUAGGAGAGCGUUCUGUAUGGGGAGAAGUCGUAGCGAAAGCGGCGGUGGACUAUACAGAAGUGAGAAUGCCGGAAUAAGUAGCGAGAAUUAAGUGAGAAUCUUAAUGGCCGAAAGUCUAAGGUUUUUGGAGGAAGGUUCGUCCGCUCCAAGUAAGUCGGGAGCUAAGGUCAGGCCGAAAGGCGUAGCCGAUGCACAUACGGUUGAUAUUCCGUAACCAUCUGUAAUUUAAGCAAAGGGACACUUCAAAAGGGUGUGACCCGGGCGUUGGUUGACCCGGGCGUAAGGGACCGAAAUUAGAGUAGGGAAGCACACUUAGCUGAAGGCGAGAAAAGCUUUGCGUAUAGAAACAGAUGCCCGUACCGCAAACCGACACAGGUGGACAGGAAGAGAAUUCUAAGGCCAGCGGGAGAAGGGUAGUUAAGGAACUCGGCAAAUUGACUCCGUAACUUCGGAAUAAGGAGUGCUCGAAAGAGCCGCAGAGAAUAGGCCCAGGCGACUGUUUAGCAAAAACACAGGUCUCUGCCAAAUCGAAAGAUGAAGUAUAGGGGCUGACACCUGCCCGGUGCCGGAAGGUUAAGAGGAGGAGUGAGAGCUCCGAAUUGAAGCCCCGGUAAACGGCGGCCGUAACUAUAACGGUCCUAAGGUAGCGAAAUUCCUUGUCGGGU